CUCAGUUGUGUCUGAAUGGUACUACAAGUUCUCAUCUUUUUUCCAGACAUUUUAACGUCGUUCAAAGUUAAACGUGCAAACAAAAACCUAGUAGAGUAAGUCAAAAUCAAAUGUAUGGCUGAAAAGCGCAAGUUAAUUACAGUUUUAAUCAGAAACAGCAGGAGCCUCCUGUUCCAUGUUACUCCACUGGCAGCUCGGCAGCGCCCCGAAAUUUUUCGUUUCAGACAACUCAUCUGUCGUAUAGUUCCACGUUUAAUAAACAUUUAAAAUCCAUCGUUUUGACCCAAAAUGUUUUUGAAAGGUAACCACUUAACCUCAUGAACUCCACGAACCUGCUCAUGAAUCCAGUUUUGCAUUGUUUUCUUCUCAUAACUUUUGUAUUAGUUUCAGGAUCUCAUCAGAGUCAUCAGUCUCCGAACUCUCGUUAAAGUUAUAAGGCUAACGGUAAUACUCAGGACAGGGUUAGAGUUCUCUAGUCAAAUCCAUAAACCCAAGGGCUUUUGGGAAAUCAAUCAUUCCUUCACAUAAAUGUCUAUCUGCAAGGUUCCAGGGAGAAAAACCAGAUGAGUUCAUGGAUUUAUUAUCUGCUGCAGGAUGUCAUGAAUAAUUACUGAGGAAACCACUGAAUCCAUCAAGCUGAGGGAAAUGAACAGCAAAAAAAAUGGACUUUUGUUUCCAGGGAAUCGAUCGGGCACGUCGGUUUUCGUGACAAACUCGUCAUGACGACUGAGCCGUAAUGAGAGUAUCAUAAACCUGGAUGAUUGUGUAAGUAGACUGUGUGCUGGUAGAAUCAGAUGAAAAUAGAUAGAGUGGAAAAAAAAAUUACAAUAGCGAUAGCAGACGAUUACGGACCGAAUGUACUGAGGUGCAGCAAAGGGUUAAAGUGAGACUUAAUGAUUCUUAAAAACUUGGAGAGGGUACAGCUGUGAGUUUUCUGAUUGUAUCUGCAGUGUGAUGGAUAGCAAGGACCGAAAUCAUGGUCACUGCAUUACAGAAACAGUCAUGUCCACAGGAAAAAUAGUAAGAGCCAAUAACAUUUCAUCUUAACAGAUCUAUAUUUGAUAGAUAUCAUAUAGGUAUUAUAGAGGUCAUAAUGCAUUAUAUAGGUAGCAUAUAGCUCAUAAUGCAUUAUAUAGGUAGCAUAUAGGUCAUAAUGCAUUAUAUAGGUAUCAUAGAGGUCAUAAUGCAUUAUAUAGGUAUCAUAGAGGUAAUAAUGAAUUAUAUAGAUAUCAUAGAGGUAAUAAUGCAUUAUAUACAUAUCAUAGAGGUAAUAAUGCAUUAUAUAGGUAUCAUAGAGGUCAUAAUACAUUAUAUAGAUAUCAUAGAGGUAAUAAUGCAUUAUAUAGAUAUCAUAGAGGUAAUAAUGCAUUAUAUAGAUAUCAUAGAGGUAGCAUAGAGGUAAUAAUGAAUUAUAUAGAUAUAAUAGAGGUCAUAAUGCAUUAUAUAGGUAGCAUAGAGGUCAUAAUGCAUUAUAUAGGUAUCAUAGAGGUAAUAAUGCAUUAUAUAGAUAUCAUAGAGGUCAUAAUGCAUUAUAUAGGUAUCAACUAUGUUAUAAUGCAUUAUAAAGUUAUAUAGGUAAUAAUGCAUUCUAUAUAAAUUAAAUAUAUAUUAAUGUAUUGUAUAGGUGAUAUCGUAUCAACUCACCGAUCAUCGGUGUCACUGUCCGAGUCACCUACAAAUUCAACUUUAACCCCUGGGUGCAUCAUGGGAAAAGAAUCAACCUGACUACACUGUAAACAGCUGCAUUUAAAUAGACUCUGAUGAAAUUAGCAUCACAGAAGCAGCGACGUUCACACAAAGUGAGCUUUUAAAAGCUUUUACUCCGUCACUUUUUAAGCUUAAUAUUUAAUUACGCGCUCGUUCUGAUACGUUAUCGUUUCUAUAGUAACGGCUCGUUCAAAGGGACGGCGGACGCUCCACAUGAGCACACAAACAGAAUCCACUGAUAUGCUGAUUGGUGAUAAUCACUGAUGUGGUAAAUUAGGCAAGAAAAUCUUAAAUGAACAUUUAAGAUUUAAGAGGCUGGAGAGGCAAUGACCGUGUUUAGUGGCUAUAUUGUAACCAACACUAAAUGUAACUAUGAAAUGAUAGAAAGGGACGAUGUUGUUUAAUAAAUGAAAAACGUAAUCAUUGGUAUAAGAGGAAUAAAACACUUCAGUUUUAGGACCAUCGUUAACUGUAGGCUGGGAACAGUAACUAAAAAAAAAACAAAACAAAUCACAUCACACCAUCGUUGAUUAUUCUCCCAUAACAGCAUGACACCAAGAGUUAAAUUCCUCACGUCAGUGACUGAUUUAUCAUCGAAUCCACCUCUUAUUGCUUAAUUUAUCGUUUUGCUCGAUUUCACAUAUCCCACAUGUAUCGGACAAGAUUCGAUGAUCUUGCGUGUUUCAUUUGUACGAAUGAACUCUGCCAUUCUUCAAACGUCAGAAAAAGUUCAGCGCUAUCACGAUCUGACACGAAACGUCGUGUUUAUCCAACGAAACGCUUCCAAAACAUUCGAAUCUAUUUGUUUCCUUCCUGCCAGUGUUGCCGUUUUGUUCCCUUAAGGAAAAGGUCUGAGAAACAGCAGGAAGAAAGUGGUCAUUUCCACCGCCCACACACACACACACACACACACACACACACCAACAAAUAUACACAAUAUCACCGAAGACAGGCGUGAGUCAGAGAGAAAAGCCGGUAAUAUCACACUCUCUGUAGUUUCACUGAAAACAACACUUUUUUUUGUCUUUUAAUCCCGAGGCUGUAGAGAAGUCAUGGAAGAGCAGCGGGGUGUGACGGACUGAUAGAAGUGUGCGUCACGGUCUAAUCUCUCGUCUCUCUCUCAGAACAGUACACUGAAAACCCUGACAAGAUGACUGUACUCAAUUGAUUGAGUAAACCCGUUCCCUCGAUUUGACGGAG
Molecule: long non-coding RNA, 2907 nt
Organism: Ictalurus punctatus (channel catfish)
Lineage: Eukaryota; Metazoa; Chordata; Actinopteri; Siluriformes; Ictaluridae
Source: Ensembl